CCGGUGCUGACGGUGGCGGGGCUGCCGGGCACGCUGUGGAACUGCCUCCCGCUAGAGCUGCGGGCUGGCGACGGUCCCGUGGGGGCGGGAAGCGGCUCAGGGUGCCCUCGCCGGCCUGCGGCGGCGCGUCUGGGAGCGCAGGCCACUCGUGCGCGGGUCACUCGGGGCUGUGCCUCGCGCGACUGUGUGUGCAGGAAACAAGGAGGAAAUACCCUAAAAUGGAAUGAAGCGCCAUGUUGAGGGCCGCGGAUGUCGCGAGUGCUGUGGGAAUGUGGGCUGAGGUGGAGAGUUAUGGUGGAGGAAGCUAGUCCUGUCUGAUGGAGGAAACAGGGCAGAGGCGUGGAGGGAGACGCACAGUGCUGGUGUGAGGAGCCGCGAGCAGGCCAGGCCUGUAAAGCAGCGUGAUGGGAACCAGGAUAGAGAAGGCAAGUCGGGGUCCUGUGGUCGCUGAAGAAUUUGAAUGAAAUCAGUAAACAGGUGAGAGGGAUCCAUCGCAAGAGCAUGGGAUGAAACGAGCAGUAGUCCACGGUGAUUCCUCUGCAGCGGUGGGUAUUAUUAAUCGCGUAUGUGACACCAAAACGUGGGUAUUAUUGAUAGCUUAUGUGACACCAAAACCACCCCAUUUAAGCUGUGGCUCUUUCCCUAAAGUAGAAAACAGAGAUCAGUUGGGUUCCAAGCAUCCACGAAGAUCUUAUUAAAUUCGUGAUCCCUGGUGGCACCAUGGAGUCAGGAUUGGCUCAUCUCAAACCUGACUCAGAAACAAAACCAUCUCAAUGGGCAGAGAUGAGCGUCCUUACCCGCUAUCAUAACGUAUUUUCUGGUGUUUUCACAGUGCUGCGCUUCCUAAUCCCCAUUCUAGGGCAAUCUACAUGCCAUGAUGCCCAGAGGCAUUAACAAAGGAGACACACAGGGGCUCCUCACGUUGGCUUUCCAUGGUUUUGAUGAAAAUCUGUUUCCUCAUCUCAUACAAUGUGGUCCGUAAUAGUAUCAUUUAGGGUUGAAGAAUUAAAUGGUACAAAUUAUAUAGGGUGCUUAUGAUAACCUACAUGGAAAAUGCCUAGGAUAUGUUAGCUAUGCUCAUCACCAACAUCGUUAUAUGAUGGUAAUAAUCAGAUAGUCAGGAAGGCUGACACCAAGAAAAUGGAUACAUGCUCUGAGGGAAUGAAUGUGGAGAGAUCAGAAGGUCAAGAACAAAGCCUUACAACAUGUCUGCAGUAAAGGGAUAGAGAAAAGAAAGGCUAUAAAAGAAGGAAUGAAACAGAGUAAAAUUAUAAAAUCAAAGCUAAGGAGAAUUUCCAGAAAGGGUAAUAUCAUUUAAUAUCAUAGAAGUUUAGGAACACAAGAUGGAAAAAAGGCCUCUGGGUAACUGACAUUGAGGCAGUCUUUAGGGAAGCUCCAUUUCUGACAGAGUAGACACCAAGUCAGCUUGAAGCAGGGACAAGUUGAAGAAGCUGUUGGCUGGUCGCAUGGGGAAAUAAAUAAGGGAUGGCA
RNAcentral lists this long non-coding RNA (1491 nucleotides) under Homo sapiens (human). RNAcentral's name for it is "LHRI_LNC1507.1". The record is from RNAcentral. Lineage: Eukaryota; Metazoa; Chordata; Mammalia; Primates; Hominidae.